Molecule: ribosomal RNA, 468 nt
Filed under: uncultured bacterium
Lineage: Bacteria
Description: partial 16S ribosomal RNA
Rfam family: Bacterial small subunit ribosomal RNA
Source: RNAcentral
GACGAACGCUGGCGGCGUGCUUAACACAUGCAAGUCGAACGGAAAGGCCCUGCUUUUGUGGGGUGCUCGAGUGGCGAACGGGUGAGUAACACGUGAGUAACCUGCCCUUGACUUUGGGAUAACUUCAGGAAACUGGUGCUAAUACCGGAUAGGAUCUCCUGCUGCAUGGUGGGGGUUGGAAAGUUUCGGCGGUUGGGGAUGGACUCGCGGCUUAUCAGCUUGUUGGUUGGGUAGUGGCUUACCAAGGCUUUGACGGGUAGCCGGCCUGAGAGGGUGACCGGCCACAAUGGGACUGAGAUACGGCCCAGACUCCUACGGGAGGCAGCAGUGGGGAAUAUUGCACAAUGGGCGGAAGCCUGAUGCAGAAACGCCGCGUGCGGGAUGACGGCCUUCGGGUUGUAAACCGCUGUCGCCUGUGACGAAGCGUGAGUGACGGUAAUGGGUAAAGAAGCACCGGCUAACUACGUG